Molecule: ribosomal RNA, 407 nt
Filed under: uncultured bacterium
Lineage: Bacteria
Description: bacterial SSU rRNA
Rfam family: Bacterial small subunit ribosomal RNA
Source: RNAcentral
UCGGGAAUAUUGGGCAAUGGAGGAAACUCUGACCCAGCAAUACCGCGUGAAGGAUGAAGGUCUUCGGAUUGUAAACUUCUGUUAUAAAGGAAGAAUAAAAUGACGGUACUUUAUAAGUAAGCCCCGGCAAACUAUGUGCCAGCAGCCGCGGUGAUACAUAGGGGGCAAGCGUUGUCCGGAAUGACUGGGUGUAAAGGGUGUGUAGGUGGCUUUUUAAGUUAGAAGUGAAAGCCCGGGGCUCAACUCCGGAACUGCUUUUAAAACUGGAUGGCUUGAGUGUGGGAGAGGUUAGUGGAACUCCUAGUGUAGCGGUGGAAUGCGUAGAUAUUAGGAAGAACAUCAGAGGCGAAGGCGACUAACUGGAACAUUACUGACACUGAAACACGAAAGUGUGGGGAGCAAACAGG